GUAGGGAAUAUUGGACAAUGGGGGGAACCCUGAUCCAGCCAUGCCGCGUGGAGGAAGACUGCCCUCUGGGUUGUAAACUCCUUUUAUAUGGGAAGAACCGUCCUCAUUAAUGAGUGACCUGACGGUACCAUAGGAAUAAGCACCGGCUAACUCCGUGCCAGCAGCCGCGGUAAUACGGAGGGUGCAAGCGUUAUCCGGAUUCACUGGGUGUAAAGGGUGCGUAGGCGGAUAAAUAAGUCAGUGGUGAAAUCAACGGGCUCAACCUGUUAACUGCCAUUGAUACUGUGUAUCUUGAAUAUGAGAGAGGUAGGCGGAAUGUUGCAUGUAGCGGUGAAAUGCUUAGAUAUGCUACGGAACACCGAUUGCGAAGGCAGCUUACUAUUUCGUAAUUGACGCUGAGGCACGAAAGCGUGGGUAGCGAACAGGAUUAGAAACCCCUGUAGUCC
RNAcentral lists this ribosomal RNA (446 nucleotides) under uncultured bacterium. Its description in RNAcentral is "partial 16S ribosomal RNA". It matches the Rfam family "Bacterial small subunit ribosomal RNA", at positions 354 to 796 of the family's 1533-position model. The record is from RNAcentral.